GGGAGACGGUCUGGGACCAGUAGGCCUCUAAAGCUCAACCAGCGGGGUUCGAUCCCCCGGUCUCUCGCCA
Molecule: transfer RNA, 70 nt
Filed under: Candidatus Methanoplasma termitum
Lineage: Archaea; Methanobacteriati; Thermoplasmatota; Thermoplasmata; Methanomassiliicoccales; Methanomassiliicoccaceae
Description: tRNA-Pyl
Source: RNAcentral